CAAUCUGAAAUCAGGCUGGGAGAGGAACCGGGCUCUGGAUGUUUUGUUUUCCAUUCUCCUUUCCUGUCUACUGCCAUUCAGGCCUUCACUUCUAUAAAUCUCUCUGUUUUCCUCUAAAAAGCAUGCUUCCUCUGCCCUCUGGUCAGAAUGACUAGGUGGGAGGGUUUUUGCGGGUGUCUUAUGGGACCUCCACCUCUCAGACUGAAGGGCCUGUGGGUCUGUGGGAAGGCUGCUCAGGAGCCCUGGAUUGGGGGUACCCACAGGAAGACCCCCACUUCAGAGGGCUAUAGAGGAUCAAAGUCUGACUGCUUGUGGUGGGCUGGUCCCUCUCUCUCAAUCAAUGGGAUGGGAGUCAACUCUGAGACUGAAUAUGAAGGAAUCAGUACCUCCUGGGCCCAUGGGGGUGAGCUGGAUCUGCACACACAGCGGUGAGCUGAGUCUGGGCCCACAAGGAAAUGUCACUCCUGUGAGGGAAGGAGGUGUCUGUCCUGUUCUGUUUGAAUCCUGUGUGCCUGGCAUAGAAGAGAAUGCUCCACACGUGUUUCGGAAAGAUGGGGAAAUGACGCCUGCUGCUCCACAUCCUCAUGCCCCAGAGACACUUUCAGGAUGAAGAGUUUGAAUGUUUCCCUGAGACCUGCCCUUUCUUCCCCAGUGUCCACACUGCUCUCACAUGUGGGGCUGCCUGUUUUUGCUUGUUUCUGGGGAAAAUUAAAGUCUAAUUUCAGGUAAACGAAUGGCAAAAGGAAGGUUAAUAGUGUGACAAGUAAUGCAAAUCGUCUGAUUUACUUUUGGAAACCCCCCCCUCCCACCACAGAUGCUCUGAAAAGCCAUUUACACAUUUAAGGGUCCCAUAGAGUUUAACUGAAAUUAAAAUGAUGAAGGGAUUUAUGAAGCACAGAUUCCCCUUUCACUUUGCUUUAUUCUUCUAAAACCUUAAAACAAAUGGAAGAAUUCAAGCAUUAAUCACACAAUAAGUGUUCAUCGAGUGAUGAGUUCAUGGGAGAACAUCUGAAGUGGUUCUUUGCUUCAAGACCAAACUUAAUUUAUAGGAGCAACGAUCAGGAAGGGGAACCAACAGAAUCCAUAAAAACUGAGUCCUGUUUCCAGUUUGUUCCUCAACAGGUGAACAUUUGCACCAUUAGCAAAAUUAAACAGAGAUCAAGCCACCAAGGAGGAUCUUGGUUUCCAUUACCCUAAAACGUAAUGGAAAUGACCCUAAAGUCUCCUGAAUCUGUCUCUAAAGGUAGCUUUAUAUUGCCAUAUUAAUUAAUGCUUCUUAUUUUUACUUUCUUUAAUUUCUCCUUUGCAAUCUCAUAAAUGAGCGUUUGUUUUAGGUAUUGGGAAACCUAAAACAGCAAGGUUUUGUUUCUCUGUUCUAAACUGGGCAGAAACCAAGCUCCCUCUAAGGACUCUGCUCCUCUUCCAAGUUGAAUAACCCAGCACACCAGGACUUUCUGCCACCAACAUUGUGUGUUUGGCUUAUAAGUCAUGUUUUUCAUUGCUAUUGUUAAUUUCUAUUUUUGAAUAAUUUUAUAUUUACAGAAAAGGUGCAAAGAUAGUACAGAGUUCCCACAGUGAUGAAAACGAUUUGGAACUAGAUAGAGGUGAUGGUUGCCCAACGUUCUCAAUGUACUCUAUGACACUGCAUUGUACACUUUCAAAUGAUUACUGCUUUUAACAUAUUUGUUUGGUGUCAACUGCCUUACUAAAUUUAUACUCACUUAAAAUAGGUUUUUAGCUGCCAAUCCAUUAUCUACAGCCAAUCCAUUAUCUUCCUAUAAUGCUAAGUUUCCUUUUCACAUUCAGAUCUUCUUUUUUUUCCUCCUUGUAUUACACUGGUUGGAACUCCAGGAUGCCAA
Molecule: long non-coding RNA, 1859 nt
Filed under: Homo sapiens (human)
Lineage: Eukaryota; Metazoa; Chordata; Mammalia; Primates; Hominidae
Description: HSALNT0084066
Source: RNAcentral